GAUGAACGCUGGCGGCGUGCCUAAUACAUGCAAGUCGAGCGAACGGACGAGAAGCUUGCUUUUCUGAUGUUAGCGGCGGACGGGUGAGUAACACGUGGAUAACCUACCUAUAAGACUGGGAUAACUUCGGGAAACCGGAGCUAAUACCGGAUAAUAUUUUGAACCGCAUGGUUCAAAAGUGAAAGACGGUCUUGCUGUCCCUUAUAGAUGGAUCCGCGCUGCAUUAGCUAGUUGGUAAGGUAACGGCUUACCAAGGCAACGAUGCAUAGCCGACCUGAGAGGGUGAUCAGUCACACUGGAACUGAGACACGGUCCAGACUCCUACGGGAGGCAGCAGUAGGGAAUCUUCCGCAAUGGGCGAAAGCCUGACGGAGCAACGCCGCGUGAGUGACGAAGGUCUUCGGAUCGUAAAACUCUGUUAUUAGGGAAGAACAUAUGUGUAAGUAACUGUGCACAUCUUGACGGUACCUAAUCAGAAAGCCACGGCUAACUACGUG
RNAcentral lists this ribosomal RNA (497 nucleotides) under uncultured bacterium. RNAcentral's name for it is "partial 16S ribosomal RNA". It matches the Rfam family "Bacterial small subunit ribosomal RNA", at positions 28 to 507 of the family's 1533-position model. The record is from RNAcentral.